This 376-nucleotide ribosomal RNA is filed under the name uncultured bacterium. Its description in RNAcentral is "bacterial SSU rRNA". It matches the Rfam family "Bacterial small subunit ribosomal RNA", at positions 524 to 898 of the family's 1533-position model. The record is from RNAcentral.
GACGAACCGUCCAAACGUUAUUCGGAAUUACUGGGCUUAAAGGGUGCGUAGGCGGCUUCGCAAGUUGGGUGUGAAAUCCCUCGGCUCAACCGAGGAAUGGCGCCCAAAACUGCGGAGCUCGAGGGAGACAGAGGUGAGUGGAACUUGUGGUGGAGCGGUGAAAUGCGUUGAUAUCACAAGGAACACCGGUGGCGAAAGCGGCUCACUGGGUCUUUUCUGACGCUGAGGCACGAAAGCUGGGGGAGCGAACGGGAUUAGAUACCCCGGUAGUCCCAGCUGUAAACGAUGAGCACUAGAUCGAAGGGUCCUCCAUAGCCUUUCGGUCGUAGCGAAAGUGUUAAGUGCUCCGCCUGGGGAGUAUGGUCGCAAGGCUGAA